This 3008-nucleotide ribosomal RNA is filed under the name Salmonella enterica subsp. enterica serovar Thompson. RNAcentral describes it as "bacterial LSU rRNA". It matches the Rfam family "Bacterial large subunit ribosomal RNA". Lineage: Bacteria; Pseudomonadati; Pseudomonadota; Gammaproteobacteria; Enterobacterales; Enterobacteriaceae. The record is from RNAcentral.
GGGUUGUGAGGUUAAGCGACUAAGCGUACACGGUGGAUGCCCUGGCAGUCAGAGGCGAUGAAGGGCGUGCUAAUCUGCGAUAAGCGCCGGUAAGGUGAUAUGAACCGUUAUAACCGGCGAUACCCGAAUGGGGAAACCCAGUGUGACUCGUCACACUAUCAUUAACUGAAUCCAUAGGUUAAUGAGGCGAACCGGGGGAACUGAAACAUCUAAGUACCCCGAGGAAAAGAAAUCAACCGAGAUUCCCCCAGUAGCGGCGAGCGAACGGGGAGGAGCCCAGAGCCUGAAUCAGCAUGUGUGUUAGUGGAAGCGUCUGGAAAGGCGCGCGAUACAGGGUGACAGCCCCGUACACAAAAGCGCAUGUGCUGUGAGCUCGAUGAGUAGGGCGGGACACGUGGUAUCCUGUCUGAAUAUGGGGGGACCAUCCUCCAAGGCUAAAUACUCCUGACUGACCGAUAGUGAACCAGUACCGUGAGGGAAAGGCGAAAAGAACCCCGGCGAGGGGAGUGAAAAAGAACCUGAAACCGUGUACGUACAAGCAGUGGGAGCACCCUUUGGGGUGUGACUGCGUACCUUUUGUAUAAUGGGUCAGCGACUUAUAUUCUGUAGCAAGGUUAACCGUAUAGGGGAGCCGGAGGGAAACCGAGUCUUAAUUGGGCGUUAAGUUGCAGGGUAUAGACCCGAAACCCGGUGAUCUAGCCAUGGGCAGGUUGAAGGUUGGGUAACACUAACUGGAGGACCGAACCGACUAAUGUUGAAAAAUUAGCGGAUGACCUGUGGCUGGGGGUGAAAGGCCAAUCAAACCGGGAGAUAGCUGGUUCUCCCCGAAAGCUAUUUAGGUAGCGCCUCGUGAAUUCAUCUCCGGGGGUAGAGCACUGUUUCGGCUAGGGGGCCAUCCCGGCUUACCAACCCGAUGCAAACUGCGAAUACCGGAGAAUGUUAUCACGGGAGACACACGGCGGGUGCUAACGUCCGUCGUGAAGAGGGAAACAACCCAGACCGCCAGCUAAGGUCCCAAAGUCAUGGUUAAGUGGGAAACGAUGUGGGAAGGCCCAGACAGCCAGGAUGUUGGCUUAGAAGCAGCCAUCAUUUAAAGAAAGCGUAAUAGCUCACUGGUCGAGUCGGCCUGCGCGGAAGAUGUAACGGGGCUAAACCAUGCACCGAAGCUGCGGCAGCGAACGUAUCACUUAAAGCGAUUCAGCGGGUUACGAUUGACGGAGCGAAGCGACGUCAAAGCGUAUACAAAGUCGAGUCGGUUUAAGGAUACGUUCGUUGGGUAGGGGAGCGUUCUGUAAGCCUGUGAAGGUGGCCUGUGAGGGUUGCUGGAGGUAUCAGAAGUGCGAAUGCUGACAUAAGUAACGAUAAAGCGGGUGAAAAGCCCGCUCGCCGGAAGACCAAGGGUUCCUGUCCAACGUUAAUCGGGGCAGGGUGAGUCGACCCCUAAGGCGAGGCCGAAAGGCGUAGUCGAUGGGAAACAGGUUAAUAUUCCCGUACUUGGUGUUACUGCGAAGGGGGGACGGAGAAGGCUAUGUUGGCCGGGCGACGGUUGUCCCGGUUUAAGCGUGUAGGUGUGUGUUCCAGGUAAAUCCGGUUCACUUUAACACUGAGGCGUGAUGACGAGGCACUACGGUGCUGAAGCAACAAAUGCCCUGCUUCCAGGAAAAGCCUCUAAGCAUCAGGUAACAUCAAAUCGUACCCCAAACCGACACAGGUGGUCAGGUAGAGAAUACCAAGGCGCUUGAGAGAACUCGGGUGAAGGAACUAGGCAAAAUGGUGCCGUAACUUCGGGAGAAGGCACGCUGACACGUAGGUGAAGUGAUUUACUCAUGGAGCUGAAGUCAGUCGAAGAUACCAGCUGGCUGCAACUGUUUAUUAAAAACACAGCACUGUGCAAACACGAAAGUGGACGUAUACGGUGUGACGCCUGCCCGGUGCCGGAAGGUUAAUUGAUGGGGUCAGCGCAAGCGAAGCUCCUGAUCGAAGCCCCGGUAAACGGCGGCCGUAACUAUAACGGUCCUAAGGUAGCGAAAUUCCUUGUCGGGUAAGUUCCGACCUGCACGAAUGGCGUAAUGAUGGCCAGGCUGUCUCCACCCGAGACUCAGUGAAAUUGAACUCGCUGUGAAGAUGCAGUGUACCCGCGGCAAGACGGAAAGACCCCGUGAACCUUUACUAUAGCUUGACACUGAACAUUGAGCCUUGAUGUGUAGGAUAGGUGGGAGGCUUUGAAGCGUGGACGCCAGUCUGCGUGGAGCCGACCUUGAAAUACCACCCUUUAAUGUUUGAUGUUCUAACGUGGACCCGUAAUCCGGGUUGCGGACAGUGUCUGGUGGGUAGUUUGACUGGGGCGGUCUCCUCCUAAAGAGUAACGGAGGAGCACGAAGGUUGGCUAAUCCUGGUCGGACAUCAGGAGGUUAGUGCAAUGGCAUAAGCCAGCUUGACUGCGAGCGUGACGGCGCGAGCAGGUGCGAAAGCAGGUCAUAGUGAUCCGGUGGUUCUGAAUGGAAGGGCCAUCGCUCAACGGAUAAAAGGUACUCCGGGGAUAACAGGCUGAUACCGCCCAAGAGUUCAUAUCGACGGCGGUGUUUGGCACCUCGAUGUCGGCUCAUCACAUCCUGGGGCUGAAGUAGGUCCCAAGGGUAUGGCUGUUCGCCAUUUAAAGUGGUACGCGAGCUGGGUUUAGAACGUCGUGAGACAGUUCGGUCCCUAUCUGCCGUGGGCGCUGGAGAACUGAGGGGGGCUGCUCCUAGUACGAGAGGACCGGAGUGGACGCAUCACUGGUGUUCGGGUUGUCAUGCCAAUGGCACUGCCCGGUAGCUAAAUGCGGAAGAGAUAAGUGCUGAAAGCAUCUAAGCACGAAACUUGCCCCGAGAUGAGUUCUCCCUGAGACUUAGAGUCUCCUGAAGGAACGUUGAAGACGACGACGUUGAUAGGCCGGGUGUGUAAGCGCAGCGAUGCGUUGAGCUAACCGGUACUAAUGAACCGUGAGGCUUAACCUUACAACGCCGAAG